AUUGAACGCUGGCGGCAGGCCUAACACAUGCAAGUCGAGCGAGCGGCGGACGGGUGAGUAAUGUCUGGGAAACUGCCUGCUGGCGGGGGAUAACUACUGGAAACGGUAGCUAAUACCGCAUACCAUCAGAUGUGCCCACAUGGGAUUAGCUAGUAGGUGGGGUAACGGCCCACCUAGGCGACGAUCCCGAGCUGGUCUGAGAGGAUGACCAGCCACACUGGGACUGAGACACGGUACAGACUCCUACGGGAGGCAGCAGGGGGGAAUAGUGCAGAAUGGGUGGGGGCCUGAGGCAGCCAGGCGGCGUGUGUGAGGAAGGCCUUCGGGUUGUAAAUCACGUUCAGCGGGGAGGCGUUACCCGGAGAAGAAGCACCGGCUAACUCCGGGCCAGCAGCCGCGGUAAUAC
Molecule: ribosomal RNA, 406 nt
Filed under: uncultured bacterium
Lineage: Bacteria
Description: partial 16S ribosomal RNA
Rfam family: Bacterial small subunit ribosomal RNA
Source: RNAcentral